Molecule: ribosomal RNA, 253 nt
Filed under: uncultured bacterium
Lineage: Bacteria
Description: partial 16S ribosomal RNA
Rfam family: Bacterial small subunit ribosomal RNA
Source: RNAcentral
UACGUAGGGGGCAAGCGUUGUCCGGAUUUACUGGGCGUAAAGAGCGUGUAGGCGGCCAAGCAGGUCCGUUGUGAAAACUGGAGGCUUAACCUCCAGACGUCGACGGAAACCGCGUGGCUAGAGUCCGGAAGAGGAGAGUGGAAUUCCUGGUGUAGCGGUGAAAUGCGCAGAUAUCAGGAAGAACGCCAAUGGCGAAGGCAGCUCUCUGGGACGGUACUGACGCUGAGACGCGAAAGCGUGGGGAGCGAACAGG